GUUAGUGGCUACCAGUAUAUAUUUGUUAUGACUGAGUAUGUAUGCUUGGGUGAGAGUAGUACUAGGAUGGGUGACCUCCUGGGAAGUCCUUGUGUCGCACUCU
This 103-nucleotide ribosomal RNA is filed under the name Triticum aestivum (bread wheat). The record is from RNAcentral. RNAcentral also lists the same sequence under 2 other names. Lineage: Eukaryota; Viridiplantae; Streptophyta; Magnoliopsida; Poales; Poaceae.